Molecule: unclassified non-coding RNA, 102 nt
Organism: Microcebus murinus (gray mouse lemur)
Lineage: Eukaryota; Metazoa; Chordata; Mammalia; Primates; Cheirogaleidae
Rfam family: Y RNA
About the family: Y RNAs are components of the Ro ribonucleoprotein particle (Ro RNP), in association with Ro60 and La proteins.
Source: Ensembl
GGCUGGUCCAAGUUCAGUGGUGUUUACAAAUAAUUGAUCACAACCAGUUACAGAUUCCUUUGUUCCUUUUCCACUCCCGCUACAUCCGUUCACUGGCCUUAA